Molecule: long non-coding RNA, 340 nt
Organism: Phyllostomus discolor (pale spear-nosed bat)
Lineage: Eukaryota; Metazoa; Chordata; Mammalia; Chiroptera; Phyllostomidae
Exons: 2
Source: RefSeq, a predicted model, not a curated record
GGCGACGUCACGCGCCGCCGCCAUGUUUGUUGAGGGCAAGGCGUCGGCUCGGAAGAGGGGCUUGAGCGGCCUUCCGUGGGGAGGCGCGGCGCUUCCGGGCGGCCCGGUGGCUGGUGACUUCUGGCGUCACGGCUCCAGGCGCAGAAAAGCUGCAAGACCAGAUAAAACGACACCCUGGCUGACGGGAGGACCAGCUUCGAUGACUAAGGACCCCCUGGCGACGACCAAUCAGUGGCGACCAGGGCCCCGAAAGAACACACCUGGAAAGCCGAUGACUGUUCUCUUGAGAUUCUCCCCUAAAAUCCGCACCUCUAAAAUACAGAUUUAAAAUCCUCAAGAC